Molecule: ribosomal RNA, 153 nt
Filed under: Durinskia baltica
Lineage: Eukaryota; Dinophyceae; Peridiniales; Kryptoperidiniaceae
Description: 5.8S ribosomal RNA
Rfam family: 5.8S ribosomal RNA
About the family: 5.8S ribosomal RNA (5.8S rRNA) is a component of the large subunit of the eukaryotic ribosome. It is transcribed by RNA polymerase I as part of the 45S precursor that also contains 18S and 28S rRNA.
Source: RNAcentral
AACUUUCAGCGGUGGAUGUCUAGGUUCCCACAACGAUGAAGAACGCAGCGAAAUGCGAUACGUAAUGCGAAUUGCAAGACCUCGUGAAUCAUUAAGAUUUUGAACGCACAUUGCGCUUUCGGGUUUUCCCGGUAGCAUGCUUGUCUGAGUGUC